Molecule: small nuclear RNA, 183 nt
Organism: Hydra vulgaris (swiftwater hydra)
Lineage: Eukaryota; Metazoa; Cnidaria; Hydrozoa; Anthoathecata; Hydridae
Product: U2 spliceosomal RNA
Source: RefSeq, a predicted model, not a curated record
AUCGCUUCUCGGCCUAAUGGCUAAGAUCAAGUGUAGUAUCUGUUCUUGAUUUUAGUUCAUUUGGACGAGCUAGUGAUCCUAAACGCUUAUAAAAGAAAGUCUACUGGCUUUCUGGGAGUUUGUGUAAUCUUACCUUGCCCCGUCCACGGGUUGCAAAAGAGUGUUACUAAAAAGUCUACUGGC